This 199-nucleotide ribosomal RNA is filed under the name uncultured bacterium. RNAcentral describes it as "partial 16S ribosomal RNA". It matches the Rfam family "Bacterial small subunit ribosomal RNA", at positions 335 to 526 of the family's 1533-position model. The record is from RNAcentral.
AUUCUACGGGAGGCAGCAGGGGGGAAUAUUGCACAAUGGGCGCAAGCCUGAUGCAGCCAUGCCGCGUGUAUGAAGAAGGCCUUCGGGUUGUAAAGUACUCUCAGUAGGGAGGAAGGUGGUUAAGCUAAUACCUUAAUCAUUUGACGUUACCUACAGAAGAAGCACCGGCUAACUCCGUGCCAGCAGCCGCGGUAAUAAU